Molecule: long non-coding RNA, 481 nt
Organism: Grus americana (Whooping crane)
Lineage: Eukaryota; Metazoa; Chordata; Aves; Gruiformes; Gruidae
Exons: 4
Source: RefSeq, a predicted model, not a curated record
AAAUUGUAGUGGUGCCUUUUGUGAUGUGGACAUCUGCCCACUGAAUCUGGAAAAGCCCACCAACACGUUCCAUGCUUAAAAGGUUCCUCCUGCUGCAAGGAUCAUGAUCAAAUAUCACUGGGGCCCCAAACUUGAGUUUACCUGGGAUCUACUCCAUGGAUUUGUUGAGAAGCUCAAAUCAUGAUGGUGACACACAGUUAUCCUCCUGCCCCAGGCUUCUGCAAGUCCCAGUCUUAUACCUUUACCCUAAGGAAAGAGGGAGGAACAGGCAUGGUCAUUGAGGUUGGCUGCUUCGUUCCUUCAUGCUGGAAGCGGUGCGUAUCCCCUGUUCCAGUCCCUCGAUGAAGCAGCUCAGCUCCUCGUGCAGCGCCCUGGAGAGGCAUCAGGCUCCAUCCCAGCAAGGAGUGUAUAUCAGAGUCUUGAUGUGAAGGUGUAAAGGCAGAGCAACAGUUUACUCUUUCAAAACAUUGGACCAGUUCCU